AUCCUCACCAUGGGCUACAAUCCAAAAUUAGAUCAAGUGCUUCAUUUGCAGUUAGUCACUUGCACAUUGCGGUGUUACCACAGAGUGGCAUAUGCAGACAGAUACAGUAAGUCUUAUUUAUAGACCAAAGCUAAUAAGAAGUGAUCAGUAGAUGUUUUGUGUUAUGCAUGAGACUGUGAAUGUGGGACUAUUGUCAUGAUCCUGGUUUCAUGUCUGUCAUGUCUUUGUGUUGUGUGUUUUAUUUUAAAGGUUUUCCCCUCUUGUGUCAUUGUGUUCACCUGUUGCCCCUGUGUUUCUCCUCCCCUCUCCAGCUGUGUGUUGUUUGGUGAUUAACCUUGUGUAUUUAGUCUUGGUUCCCCUUUUGUCUCUUGUUCGGUCGUCGUCAUUUCUUCCCUGAUGUUGUACAUGUUACCUGCCAGUUCCUGCCCGUUCGUCUGUCUGCUCCUGUUCCCAGUGUCCCUGUAUCCCCUGCUCCGCUGAGGGACAGCACAGUAUUUCUGUUGAUCCAGCCAACAGACUCUCUCAGGGAGGUGAAGAGGGCUGCAGUGGGAGAACUAAACUGAAUAGCAACGAUGAAUACAUCGAAGUGGCCGCCAUCAGCAGAGACAUCAGGAGGAAGAAGAUUGUCACUAAUGUACCUUCACAGCAGUGUAUUUUAUUCAAAGUAAAAUUAAUGAGCUAAAUCCAUGCCAUGUUUUCUUAAAAGAGCUUCACACAGCAAAUAUUGACUGGAAAGAUGGCAGACUACACACUCCUCAUCAGUGUGGUCCAUUAUAAUGAUUAUUGUCUUUCUCUUCAACGCUAUGUCUUUUGGUGUGUGUGUGUGUUGGUUUGUUUGAAGAAAACCUUGAAUGACCUUCGUUCAAAUCUUGUCAGUAUCUUAAAACCUUUAUAAUUAAUUAUCCUUACAAGUCGAGAAAAGUGAACAUGUACAGCAGUGAAAUGUUAAAUAAUUGAAUGCAUUGAAACUGAAUACAUUUAUUUUCAUUCGCAUAUCGAGAAGAGCUUUCCACUGCAGCCUACACAGUGCCAAGAGGAUGACAUUCGCGCUGCUGUUACCUCCUUGGCCCCCAUGGUCAGUUGCAUGUGAUCGAAAAACCUCCAAAUGCAGGUGUCCAUGAAUCGCCAUCAGAUUCCCAAACCAACUCAAAGGACUCCUGAUCCCUUUCAAGACCAUGACUUUUCUUACAAAUAGCUCAAAUUUGUCAGAACCCGACUGAAUAGUGAGCCUAGAGAUGACCUUAUCGUAUGUAUGUUUGUAUAUAAUUUUCUCUUAACUUUAUAGACACAUAUGCUGUAUACUGUACAUAAAUAUAUGUUUUUCAUUUUUUGUAUUUUAUUGCUUGUUGAUA
Molecule: long non-coding RNA, 1352 nt
Organism: Eleginops maclovinus (Patagonian blennie)
Lineage: Eukaryota; Metazoa; Chordata; Actinopteri; Perciformes; Eleginopidae
Exons: 4
Source: RefSeq, a predicted model, not a curated record